This 480-nucleotide ribosomal RNA is filed under the name uncultured Faecalibacterium sp. RNAcentral describes it as "bacterial SSU rRNA". It matches the Rfam family "Bacterial small subunit ribosomal RNA", at positions 8 to 492 of the family's 1533-position model. The record is from RNAcentral. Lineage: Bacteria; Bacillati; Bacillota; Clostridia; Eubacteriales; Oscillospiraceae.
AGAGUUUGAUCCUGGCUCAGAAUGAACGCUGGCGGCGUGCCUAACACAUGCAAGUCGAACGAGAAAGCUCUUCGGAGUGAGUAAAGUGGCGAACGGGUGAGUAACACGUAAGAAUCUGCCCUUUAGUGGAGAAUACCUUCGAGAAAUCGAAGUUAAUACUGCAUAAGCCCUGCGGGGGAAAAACGGCCUCUUUGCCGUUGCUGAAGGAUGAGCUUGCGGACUAUUAGCUAGUUGGUGGGGUAAAGGCCUACCAAGGCGAUGAUGGUUAGCCGGCCUGAGAGGGUGUACGGCCACAUUGGGACUGAGACACGGCCCAGACUCCUACGGGAGGCAGCAGUGGGGAAUCUUGCACAAUGGGCGAAAGCCUGAUGCAGCGACGCCGCGUGGAGGAUGAAGGUCUUCGGAUUGUAAACUCCUGUUAAGAGGGGAGAAAAGCUUGCGAGUAAUAUGCGCAAGUGUGACGGUACCUCUAGAGAAGCC